This 61-nucleotide transfer RNA is filed under the name Cricetulus griseus (Chinese hamster). It matches the Rfam family "tRNA", at positions 6 to 65 of the family's 71-position model. Rfam says of the family: Transfer RNA (tRNA) molecules are approximately 80 nucleotides in length. Their secondary structure includes four short double-helical elements and three loops (D, anti-codon, and T loops). Lineage: Eukaryota; Metazoa; Chordata; Mammalia; Rodentia; Cricetidae. The record is from Rfam by way of RNAcentral.
UAUGGCUCAUUGGUAGAGUGCUUGCCUUGCAUGCAGGGGGCCAUAGGUUCAAAUCCUAAUA